UUUUAAGUGCUUAUUUGAUAAGUUGUUUUUUAAUUUUGAAUUGGUUUUGCAAGUGAAGUGAUGUUGAUGCUGAUUGAUUGAAAAAGGGGGGCUGUUAUUCAACAGGUUUUGGAAAAGUUCUGAAGAGUUGGUUUUGAAUUGGGAACUUCCAAAAGAGCUUUUGGAAGAGUCUGUGAAAUAUGAUGUUGAUGCUGAUUGAUUGAAAAAGGGGGGCUGUUAUUCAACAGGUUUUGGAAAAGUUCUGAAGAGUUGGUUUUGAAUUGGGAACUUCCAAAAGAGCUUUUGGAAGAGUCUGUGAAAUUUGCUUUUUUUUGUUAUUUAUGUGGAUACUUUUGGGUUAUAAUGUAAUAUUUGGAUUAAAUUUUAAUUAUGUAAUUAUCUUUUAAGCUUUUCAAAAUUUAACUC
This 405-nucleotide long non-coding RNA is filed under the name Lathyrus oleraceus (garden pea). RNAcentral describes it as "Pisum sativum (pea) long non-coding RNA (PSAT_LNC041898)". Lineage: Eukaryota; Viridiplantae; Streptophyta; Magnoliopsida; Fabales; Fabaceae. The record is from RNAcentral.